RNAcentral lists this non-coding RNA (92 nucleotides) under Candidatus Dadabacteria. RNAcentral's name for it is "c-di-GMP sequence". It matches the Rfam family "c-di-GMP-I riboswitch aptamer". Rfam says of the family: GEMM was predicted in a large-scale screen for bacterial structured RNA regulatory elements. Genes associated with GEMM are involved in a diverse array of functions, including chemotaxis regulation, signal transduction, secretion and chitin. Lineage: Bacteria; Pseudomonadati; Thermodesulfobacteriota. The record is from RNAcentral.
CUUCCGAAACGGCAAACUAUCCGAAAGGGUAGGACGCAAAGCCACAAGCCUAAGGACUAUUUGGCAGGGUCUAUGGCGGUUGGGUUACCGAA